This 464-nucleotide ribosomal RNA is filed under the name uncultured bacterium. RNAcentral's name for it is "partial 16S ribosomal RNA". It matches the Rfam family "Bacterial small subunit ribosomal RNA", at positions 338 to 795 of the family's 1533-position model. The record is from RNAcentral.
CCUACGGGCGGUAGCAGUAGGGAAUUUUCGUCAAUGGGCGCAAGUCUGACCGAGCAAUGCCGCGUGAGCGAGGAAGGUCUUCGGAUCGUAAAGCUCUGUUGUAGGGGAAAAAGAGCGGAGUGAGUAAAUGCUUUCUGAUUGGUCUUACUCUUCGAGGAAGUCACGGCCAACUACGUGCCAGCAGCCGCGGUAAUACGUAGGUGGCCAGCGUUAUCCGGAAUGAUUGGGCGUAAAGGGUGCGUAGGCGGCCUGAUAAGUCUGGAGUGAAAGGUAGCGGCUUAACCAGUAUAGGCUUUGGAAACUGGCGGACUAGAGUGCAAGAGGGGGGAGUGGAACUCCAUGUGUAGCGGUGAAAUGCGUAGAUAUAUGGAGGAACACCAGUGGCGAAAGCGGCCGGCUGGCUUGUAACUGACGCUGAGGCACGAAAGCGUGGGGAGCAAAUAGGAUUAGAUACCCGUGUAGUC